Molecule: long non-coding RNA, 2073 nt
Organism: Brachypodium distachyon (stiff brome)
Lineage: Eukaryota; Viridiplantae; Streptophyta; Magnoliopsida; Poales; Poaceae
Exons: 6
Source: RefSeq, a predicted model, not a curated record
UUCUCUCUUGUGUUUGGGAGGAGCUUUAUCUUCCCAUGCUGCUGGCGGCUUGCACAGGAAUUUUCUGUAGAGAAAUAAUCUGCAUUAAUUGGGGUCUUAUUUGUGUGGGAUUUGAUUUCUCUUGUGAAGCGCACGACCUCCAGGAUAGAUGCGAGUUAAUGGAGGGAUUUGAUUUCUCUCGUGAAGCACACGACCUCCAGGAUCGAUGCGAGUUAAUGGAGGGAAGACGGGCAGCCAUUGCGUUGAGACAAAAGCUGCGGGCUCUUGAGGGCUUUCGUCCUCCGGCGCCCCCCGCAGCUUCCGUCUCCAGCUGACAUAAGGUCCGGUGCCAGCUAGCUGUUCGACGGAAUGGCCGAGAGGACCGAAAUCGAGGAAUCAAAGGAAACAUCUGAGGAUCACAUCAGCGCGCUCCCCGAUGAUCUCCUGCUGGAUGUGCUGUCCUUGUUGACGGCGGAUGAGGCCGUCCAGACCUGCGUGCUCGCGCGCCGGUGGCGUGACCUCUGGAUGCGCCUGCCCAGCUUGCGCCUGUUGUAAAAAAGCCGUUUGCAGAGGCACCAACGUUCAGGAGCACCGAGCAUUUCAACAGCUUCGUGAACCGUCUCAUCGAGCUCCGUGAGCCAUUGUGUCUGGUCGACUGCGAGAUCGAUCUUUGUCAUGACGAUACCGAUGAGCUAAGCAGUGAGACAUUCCCAUAUCCAUAUGUCAUCCAAUGGAUCCAGUACGCUUUAGCAAGUCAUGCUCGGUUGCUUCGAGUCAUUGUCGACGAAGACUAUUUUGACCAACAACUACGGCUCAAUGUGCCUCUCGUCUCCCAGCACUUGAUGACCUUACAUCUUAACAGUGUUGACUUGCUCUGCUCCAUGGAUUUCUCGAGCUGUCCGGUGUUAGAGGAUCUAAAGGUUUCCAACUGCGAGAUUCACGCGCACAUGGUAUCAUCCAGAUCACUCAAGCGUAUGUGUAUCGGCGGCUGCUGCUUCCCUACUGAUUACCGCACUUUGUUAUCUACACCAAGCCUUAAUACACUGCAGUUAUCUACACCAAAUGAUUGUGACGGCAUGACUCCUUUGACUGAAAGCAUGCCAUUGCUAGAAACAGCAUUUGUCAGGCUUGCAUUUUCUUCUGAUUGCUGUUCCUACUCCAAAAACCUUGCAGUAGGGAAUUGUGGUGAUGAAAGCUGUGUUGGUUGUUUUGGUUACCCCGUCGGUGGUAAUCAGAGUGCUUCUCAAUGGUUUGUCCAAUGCUAUCAAUUUGGUCUUGAUAGCUAGACCUGAAGAGUAUAUCUUCAGAAGGGAUUUGGCAUCAUGCCCCGUGUUUAGCAAAUUAAAGACUCUUGUACUCAAUUGGUGGGUUGCGAUUAUUGAUCUUGAUGCACUAGCUUCAGUUCUCCAACACUCGCCAAUUCUUGAAAUACUCACCCUUGAGCUCAAAGACAAUCAGAAGUACUUUGUGUCCACUAGGACCUCGUAAGCGCGAUAGGACCUGAAGAAAACUAUGAUCCAAGAGAACAACCUUUUGCAUGCACACGCCUUAAGGUAGUCAACAUUGAAUGUGAACAGGACAAUGAGAAGGUUCGCAAAAUUUUGAAGUUCUUGACUACAUGUGGCAUACCUGCUGAGCAAAUUAGCGUCAAGAAGAUCUUUGGGUUGUGGUUAAAUUGGUUUCAUGCUGCCAUGCCCCCCCUGCCCCCCUACUGAUCAAGCCUGAAACACACUUGAUGCUUGGCUGUGAACAUGCAAUCAGAAUUUUUGGCUUAACUCCGGCUUCGCUUUUGAGAGGUUCCCGAAGGAGCUGGUUUCAUCUACUCCAGCGAGAUGUCACACCUUCAACCACUGAUGGCGACUAAGAUGUGUGCCUGGUCAUGAUAUUGUUCUAAACCUCCUCUGGAGUCAGUGGCAUUUAUCUCUGUUUGGUUUUCAAACUUUCCUUUAUUAGUUUUUCGAUAAACUCUGCAAACUAGUAGUAUCCCUGCCGGAUACUAUGGCCGGUCAGAACGUUGUCAUGGGUUCAAUGAUUUAUGUUGCCACUUCUGGAGAUUAUCCAAAAAAAAAAUCUAUUCUACGAAAUUUAUAAUGA